Molecule: non-coding RNA, 289 nt
Organism: Pelobates cultripes (western spadefoot toad)
Lineage: Eukaryota; Metazoa; Chordata; Amphibia; Anura; Pelobatidae
Source: the annotation of a GenBank genome assembly
CACAAACAUAGUACAGCCCACAGGGUGUUACAAAACAACCAAUCAAUCCGUACAAUACACCCAGACACUCCCACACAAAAUCCUCCCCUCUGCCUGUGAUAUGAUUACUGAACACAAUGGGUAAUCUCAUUAUCACCGGCAGAGGAAUACAGUUUUUACACAAUAUUUAUAACUUCUAAAAUAUACAUGUCACAAACAUAAAACAUACAUUUUCAUAAUCAAUCCAUUCAGGGGAACAACAUAUUAAAAAAUGGCACGAAUCAGACCAGGGGUUCAAAAGUUAAGGGAA